UCCUACGGGGGGCAGCAGUGGGGAAUAUUGCACAAUGGGGGAAACCCUGAUGCAGCGACGCCGCGUGGGUGAAGAAGCGCCUCGGCGCGUAAAGCCCUGCCUGCAGGGAAGAAAAUGACGGUACAUGAAGAAGAAGCCCCGGCUAACUACGUGCCAGCAGCCGCGGAAAUACGUAGGGGGCAAGCGUUAUCCGGAUUUACUGGGUGUAAAGUGGGCGCAGACGGCGAUGCAAGCCAGGAGAGAAAGC
Molecule: ribosomal RNA, 247 nt
Filed under: uncultured bacterium
Lineage: Bacteria
Description: partial 16S ribosomal RNA
Rfam family: Bacterial small subunit ribosomal RNA
Source: RNAcentral